Molecule: ribosomal RNA, 449 nt
Filed under: uncultured bacterium
Lineage: Bacteria
Description: bacterial SSU rRNA
Rfam family: Bacterial small subunit ribosomal RNA
Source: RNAcentral
AAGCCAGACUCCUACGGGAGGCAGCAGUGGGGAAUAUUGCACAAUGGGGGGAACCCUGAUGCAGCGACGCCGCGUGGGUGAAGGAGUACUUCGGUACGUAAAGCCCUAUCAGCAGGAAAGAAAAUGACGGUACCUGACUAAGAAGCCCCGGCUAACUACGUGCCAGCAGCCGCGGUAAUACGUAGGGGGCAAGCGUUAUCCGGAUUUACUGGGUGUAAAGGGAGCGUAGACGGCAGUGCAAGUCCGGAGUGAAAGCCCGGGGCUCAACCCUGGGACUGCUCUGGAAACUGUAAAGCUGGAGUGCGGGAGGGGCAGGCGGAAUUCCUGGUGUAGCGGUGAAAUGCGUAGAUAUCAGGAGGAACACCGGCGGCGAAGGCGGCCUGCUGGACCGUAACUGACGUUGAGGCUCGAAAGCGUGGGGAGCAAACAGGAUUAGAUACCCCCGUAGA